Molecule: ribosomal RNA, 376 nt
Filed under: Acanthamoeba sp.
Lineage: Eukaryota; Discosea; Longamoebia; Acanthamoebidae
Description: SSU rRNA
Rfam family: Eukaryotic small subunit ribosomal RNA
Source: RNAcentral
UAUGGUUUCCUGCCACCGAAUACAUUAGCAUGGGAUAAUGGAAUAGGACCCUGACCUCCUAUUUUCAGUUGGUUUUGUUUACAGCGAGGUUAUAUCAGGGUAAUGAUUAAUAGGGAUAGUUGGGGGCAUUAAUAUUUAAUUGUCAGAGGUGAAAUUCUUGGAUUUAUGAAAGAUUAACUUCUGCGAAAGCGUUUGCCAAGGAUGUUUUCAUUAAUCAAGAACGAAAGUUAGGGGAUCGAAGACGAUCAGAUACCGUCGUAGUCUUAACCAUAAACGAUGCCGACCAGCGAUUAGGAGACGUUGAAUACAAAACACCGCUGUUAAUCCUUUCGGGGGUUAAUAGUUGGUGAAUGACUCCCUAGCAGCUUGUGAGAAU